GAGGAAAGUCCGGGCUCUAUUUAUAAUAGUAUAGUUGUAUAAAAUACAGUAUAGGAAACUAUAAGGAUCGUGCCACAGAAAUAUACCGCCUUAUCUUAUAGGCAAGGGUGCAAUGGUUUGGUAAGAGCGAGCCAGAAGCAUUAUUAAGAUGUUUGCUAGGUAAACCCCAUAUUUGAGCAAAGUGAUUAGAUACAUAUCCAUUAAUAAAUUAUUUAUAAAAUUUAUAUUCUGAGACGUUUUAACUAAUCUUUCUAUACUGCAUAAAGUAAUUUUCUACUUAAGAUUAAUAAUUACCCUUUUCGUAUUUUUAAGCAUUAAUAACAAGUAUUUGAAAAGAACUAAACCCGGCUUAU
RNAcentral lists this RNase P RNA (353 nucleotides) under Polysiphonia infestans. RNAcentral's name for it is "rnpB". The stretch from base 2 to 177 matches the Rfam family "Bacterial RNase P class A", at positions 44 to 222 of the family's 367-position model. Lineage: Eukaryota; Rhodophyta; Florideophyceae; Ceramiales; Rhodomelaceae. The record is from RNAcentral.